AGUUCUAUACUUUAAUAAAAGACCUGAUUUGCAAUCAACCAUUGAGUGCUAACUCCAACACUCUAGAACUAAC
Molecule: transfer RNA, 73 nt
Filed under: Postolata guangxiensis
Lineage: Eukaryota; Metazoa; Mollusca; Bivalvia; Unionida; Unionidae
Description: tRNA-Ala
Source: RNAcentral